AUACACCGGUUCUCGUCCGAUCACCGAAGUUAAGCAACGUCGGGCGCGGUUAGUACUUGGAUGGGUGACCGCCUGGGAAC
Molecule: ribosomal RNA, 80 nt
Filed under: Taleporia tubulosa
Lineage: Eukaryota; Metazoa; Arthropoda; Insecta; Lepidoptera; Psychidae
Source: RNAcentral